GAUGAACGAUAGCUACAGGCUUAACACAUGCAAGUAGAGGGGAAACGACAUCGAAAGCUUGCUUUUGAUGGGCGUCGACCGGCGCACGGGUGAGUAACGCGUAUCCAACAUGCCCACCACUUGGGGAUAACAUUGCGAAAGUAAAACUAAUACCCAAUGAUAUUUCUAGAAGACAUCUGAAAGAGAUUAAAGAUUUAUCGUUGAUGGAUGGGGAUGCGUCUGAUUAGCUUGUUGGCGGGGUAACGGCCCACCAAGGCUACGAUCAGUAGGGGUUAUGAGAGGAAGGUCCCCCACAUUUGAACUGGGACACGGUCCAAACUCCUACCGGAGGCAGCAGUGAGGAAUAUUGGUUAAUGGGCGAGAGCCUGAACCAGCCAAGUAGCGUGCAGGAUGACGGCCCUAUGGGUUGUAAACUGCUUUUAUAAGGGAAUAAAGUGAGCCUCGUGAGGCUUUUUGCAUGUACCUUAUGAAUAAGGACCGGCUAAUUCCGUGCCAGCCGCCGCGGUAA
RNAcentral lists this ribosomal RNA (508 nucleotides) under uncultured bacterium. Its description in RNAcentral is "partial 16S ribosomal RNA". It matches the Rfam family "Bacterial small subunit ribosomal RNA", at positions 28 to 523 of the family's 1533-position model. The record is from RNAcentral.